This is a long non-coding RNA of Pocillopora damicornis (cauliflower coral), 519 nucleotides long. NCBI's taxonomy places the organism in Eukaryota, Metazoa, Cnidaria, Anthozoa, Scleractinia, Pocilloporidae. The record is from RefSeq and is a predicted model, not a curated record.
UGCACGUAUGUUAAAAGAAAAGUUUUCAAAUUCUCAGUAGUCUUGCGAGCUUGAAUAAUAUUUACCUAUAAAAAGCUCUGGAUUAAAGAGUGAUCCGCACACAGGUGCUGGUUUUAAAGGCUUUGAAGCCAAAAUAUGAAUUUCAAUUUUAGCGCAGACCAUUAGGUGUUCAAUUGAAGAGUGACGAUUUAUCUAAAAACGAAGGAGUGAUUUUGGAGUCUGUGUGGAAGAGAUCCAACUUCUCCUUGAAGGGUACUUCGAUCAGUAUCACCUCAGGAAGAAGAAGGAAAAACAACCAGAAAUUGAAUAAUUUUGACUGAAUACUCUUUACGUUUUGUCAAAGCUGAGGAAAAUUGGCGUUUCGAUUCUACUUCUAUCUAAACCGGAAAUCAAUCAAUGGAUUGUGGUCUGCCUUUUGUCUUACUGUUGAUCGUCGUAAUUUAUUACAGAAGCUUUUUCCUCGACCUUUCGCACGCGGGUCACAACAAUUUGACAGUUCUAUGCGUUCAGUCAUGACGA